UUCCUCAUGGUCUCGGAGGGGCUCCUCCGCAGCCCGGGAGGGGAGGCACAGGGGGUCCCCGGGCGGGGGAGACCACCCGGGGCCGAGGGCAGCUUCGACCGCGGAAACGGAGGAGUGGGAGUGUGAGGAGAAAUAUGCAAUGAUGACAUUUCCAAGAAGUGAUGGCAUCUGGCACUAAGGACAAAGAAUGGGAUUUUGCCACAGGGAUCUUAUUCUCCCACAUGUUCUGUCUGAAGGAGAAAGUUAUCUGAGGCCUUAUAUGAUGCAAAACUUUGGCCUCAAAGAAAUUAAAUCCCUUGUCCAAGGUUACAUAGCUGCCCCUGGCAAACACCAUUCUACUUUCUGUCUCUAUGAAUUUGACUACUCGAAGUACCUCAUGUGAAAUGUUGGUGCCAAAUGAACUUUUCUGGUUCUUCUGAAUAUGCCACUGUUGCUGCAGAAAUGUCACUGCUAGAGAAUAGAAGACUAUUAUUACAAAAGGUAUUUGAGACUGACUGAAUCAGGUCUGGAACAUUAUUGAAAUGAGACCCACAAAGGAAGAGAUACUGAGGUGGUGACCAGAUAGAUAUAAACGGGCUGUGGAAAAAGAGAAUGCAUGGCCAAAAACGGUGGUGCUCUCUGUCCAAAAACUAAGGCCCUAUGACCAUGAAUGAAGCCAGAGGGCAGGUAGGAACAGAUCAUUUGCUCCAGGAGAAGCUGGUUGCCAUGUCUUGAGGACAGUAAACUCUCUGGGGAGGUUCCUGUGGUAAGGAACCAGGGCUCCUGGUAAUAGCCUCUGAGUGAGCCACCUUGAGAAUGGAUUGUCCAGCCCCAGUCAAGCUUUCAGAUGACUGUAGCCCCUGCCAGUGUCUUCACCACAAUCUCAUGAGAUCCCAAGCUACAACCACUCAGUUAAGUUAUUCCAAAAUUCCUGACUCACAGAAAUUGAGAUACAGAAGAGGUCACAGUUAAGAUCUUGAUGUUCUAUCUUGACCCAUAAUAUAGGAACUUCACCUUUUCAGAAGCACCAGGGAGAGCUGCCUGUGCCUGGCAGAAGCUGCCCAUGCCCCACUGAUAACCCUACAGUACUUCCUGUUCUGCUCAGUACUCCUGCUUCUUUCUACAAACAACUGUGAUUCUCCACCUGGGAGCUUCCUCUGGCCGCAGGAGCCUGCUCACCUGAUUGGGACACUCCAGCAGUACUGGCUCAUAGGUGGAAAGGACUUGCCUUGUCGCUGAUGAGACUUUGGACUUGGACUUUUGAGUCAAUGCUGGAAUGAGUUAAGACUUUGGGGGACUGUUGGAAGGGCAUGAUUGUGUUUUGAAUUGUGAGGACAUGAGAUUUGGAAGAGGCUAAGGGCAGUGUCCCCACCUAAAUCUCAUCUUGAAUUGUAGUUCCCAUAAUCACCACGUGUCAUGGGGUGGAGCCGGUGGAGAUAAUCGAAUCAUGGGAACACUUUCCCCCAUGCUGUUAUUGUGAUUGUGAGUUAUCACGAGAUCUGAUGGUUUUAUAAAGGCCUUCCCUCUUCACUGGGCACUCAUUUUCUCCUUCCUGCCACCAUGUGAAGAAGGACAUGCUUGCUUCUCCUUCUGCCAUGAUUACAAGAACACACUCAGAAAUUUUCUCAACACAAUUUCUAUGCAGAGAAGAGAUGUGGGACAGAUUUGAAUUGCUGUCAUACUUGUAUGAACCCAAGACAUUUUCCAAAACCAAGGAUAAAGACAGCAAUUUCUAUGACUCUGGCAUUUUACAUACAUGCACUGUUUGCAAGUGUUCUUGUGUUCUGUGCCUUAAACUUUCUCUGUUGCAGCUUAUGAACUGAAUUAAAGAUAAUCGCAAGCC
This 1822-nucleotide non-coding RNA is filed under the name Pongo abelii (Sumatran orangutan). Lineage: Eukaryota; Metazoa; Chordata; Mammalia; Primates; Hominidae. The record is from RNAcentral.